Molecule: non-coding RNA, 248 nt
Organism: Camellia sinensis
Lineage: Eukaryota; Viridiplantae; Streptophyta; Magnoliopsida; Ericales; Theaceae
Source: RefSeq, a predicted model, not a curated record
AGCCGACUUGUCCCCUAAAAGUAGUAUAACAGAAUUGAUAUCUCUGAGAAGAUGGGUUACUUGACCCUAUAUAUAUAUAAAGAGGUUGGUUCAACGAACAGAGGGAUUUCAAGCUUGGGAGGUGUCAUCCUACUUUCUUCACAAUUCGAGGAUUUUUCCCUCCUCACACACCAACUUUCCACUAAUUUGCAAUUCCCCUAUGAUACGAAUAUAGAAAAUUUUCGAAAAUGCAUUGUUAGAUUCUAAAU